CCGGCCGCUGCGAGCUCGAUUCAUCUGGUCUCCGGGGGCUGGCGAAAAUAUAUAACGCAGGAGGUUGCGGUGGGGGCGGAUAGAGCGAGAGAGAAGAUCGGAUUCGAUUUGGAUUUCUAGGCCAAGGGGCCAUGGUGCAGCUCCGCAGCUCGCUCAGCAUGACCCGGGCGCGCGCCCGCGGCGACUCGGACGACGCCGACGACCGCGGCUGGAACCAGCUCCACGUCGCCGCCCGCAAGGGCAACCUCAAGGAGGUGAGACGUCUCCUGAAUGAAGGGAUGGAUGUCAAUGCACCCGCAUGGGGACCAAAGUCUCCUGGCGCUACUCCGCUGCACCUUGCUGCUCAGGGCGGGCAUGUGAAAAUCAUGGAUGAACUACUGGAGCGCGGUGCAAAUAUUGAUGCCCGAACAAAAGGAGCUUGUGGCUGGACUCCCCUGCACAUUGCUGCCAAGGAAAGAAACAAGAGGGUGGUCAGGUUCCUUGUCGAGAACGGCGCAUUCCUGCCCCCUGACCUGAACGACCACAGGUUCAACCCACCCCUCCACUACUGCUCUGGGCUGGAGUGGGCGUACGAGAUGAAGCGCAUGCAGGACGAGAGUGACUCGGGCGGCGAAGCUUCCUUCAGCUCGUCCAACUAGUGAAAAGUUAUUUAUCCGCAGGGGAUUCUGCUGAUCUUUGGGUUAUGAGUGCUUGUUUUUAAUUAUGAAAUCCACCCUACCUAGCUUAUGUGCCGAGCCUGCGAGGAGCUACGUCCAAGUGAAAGCAGGCUGAUGCUGGUAUUGUAUGUGUAUACAAGAAUAAACACGGUGCCGUCACGAGGUCCUGGAGUUGCUGCUGAGCUGCCCUGUAGUUUACCUGGUAUAUUCUGGUACAUCGGUGACCAGGCUGCAGUGACCUCAGAUUGGAAUAUCCGUCUCUAUCAAGGAACAUCCUUUGUAAACAUACGUUGUCGAACCUUUGCUUUGUUUGCCGUACAAGUAUUGUACAUCUGAUUGGUUUGUUUGGAACACAUGUUUUUUUUGUCUGAAGCUAUUGUUGUGUUUAUUUG
This 1048-nucleotide ribosomal RNA is filed under the name Triticum aestivum (bread wheat). RNAcentral describes it as "partial small subunit ribosomal RNA". The record is from RNAcentral. Lineage: Eukaryota; Viridiplantae; Streptophyta; Magnoliopsida; Poales; Poaceae.